This 296-nucleotide ribosomal RNA is filed under the name uncultured bacterium. RNAcentral describes it as "partial 16S ribosomal RNA". It matches the Rfam family "Bacterial small subunit ribosomal RNA", at positions 775 to 1067 of the family's 1533-position model. The record is from RNAcentral.
GGAUUAGAUACCCUGGUAGUCCACGCUGUAAACGAUGUGCACUAGGCGUUGGGGUGUUGAAACCUCGGUGCCGGAGCUAACGUGGUAAGUGCACCGCCUGGGGAGUAUGCCGGCAACGGUGAAACUCAAAGGAAUUGACGGGGGCCCGCACAAGCGGUGGAGCAUGUGGUUUAAUUCGAAGCAACGCGAAGAACCUUACCGGCCCUUGACAUGGGCGUCGCGGUUUCCAGAGAUGGAUUCCUUCAGUUCGGCUGGACGCCACACAGGUGCUGCAUGGCUGUCGUCAGCUCGUGCCG